ACAAAAAAUCUACAAAUCCGAGCUUGACAAGUCAGCUGAAUUCUAUAACAUUUCUUCAAUUUGACCAGACCGGUUGAGGCUCCAGCAAAUGAGGUUACCAAAAAAUCUAAUUCGCAGCCCAAAAUAAACCCGUCAAAGUUAUAUUUUUCACCUUACCUGGAGACUGGAACUCAGAACAGCCAGAUGCGAUUCAACUUCUGUGUAAUUGAAGCUCUCCACUUCUUUGAUUCUUCAGUUCCUCAUCAAUUCCGUAACGUUCCAUGUGAACUCUUCACUUCCUCCAACAUCAACAUAUAUUAAGUUACCAGCGUACAUUCCUGCACUCCAGUUCCCCACACCCAGUAAUGAAAACCAAUUGUAUCAAUGGCAAGCAAAAUCACAAAAUCAAGCACCAUAAGCUAUAAGUACUGUGAAAAAACACGUAAGGUUUUUCAUUAUAACUCCAGUUUUUAAAUUUAAAUAGUGGAAUAUUCAACCAUUAAUCUCAUUGUCUAUGUUGUCUGCGAUAAGAAAAUUAGUUGUUGUCUUUUGAUUUUAAGAAUUAUAUUUCAGAAAAUGGAUGGAGCAAUCGUUUCUUCAGAACCUCCACACCAUGUCGUUAUCUUAUCUUGCGAGCACCAUCAAGAAGAGUUUGAGAGAUUUUCAAUUCCUCAAAAAGACGGAGAUCGUCGCGCCAAAACCGAUUGGUUUUCUCUGCAGCUUCAUCCCUCUUCUCGGAGGUAAAUUGUUUCCAAAUUUCACUACAACUCGCUCAAGUCUCCACGUUUCCAAGUUAACUUCGAAAUUUCAGGUCAUUUUACGAAUAUAUGAAAACUCUGAAUAUAUUGGAUAGAGAAUGAAUCACUUAUGUUAAUAGUGUUUUUGUAGUUCUAUUAAUAUCUUCUCAUAGAAAACAAUAUGAGACUUAUGAAGUGAAUAAAGUUGGACAUAAUUUUACCAGGAAAGGUUUCUCUCCAACCUGACAUUUUCAAAAGACAAGAUACACUCAAAACACCUUCGCGGCUGAAAAUCUCUUAAGGUGAACACUUUUUAUAAAUAAACGAUCCAGAAAAUUUUAAUAUGUUCUCUUAUACUUUGGAAUAUAGGGAAACAAGCCGUCAGUUCUCGACCAUUACUAUGCCGGCUGGUAAGAAAACUUCUCGGAAGAGGAAAUGUCUAAAUGAUGAUGAAUUGAUAAUUCCAAACAAGUAAGAUAUCUUUUUUGUAACCUUGGAUAAUAUUCAUCUACGGAGUUCCUUAAUAUGUAUGUGUGUAAUAUAUAUACAUUGGUUAUAGUGUACAGUUAUGAAGGAAAUGACAGAAGACAUAAGUACAUUUGUCACAAAACUGAGAAAGGUUCCUCAUACUGACUAUUAUGAGAGAAGAAUCAAACGUUUUUCCGAUCAAUGGAAAUGUAUAAAACAGACAUGCUUGGAUAUUCCCACAUAUAUUUCAAUAAACUACAUAUUAGCGUUUUACUUCUUCUCGGUUUCCUUUGUCUUUCAUGCAAACCUUUUUGUCUGAUUGUCUAAUAGAGGAGAGGCAAGAAGUUGUUACUGAAAAGGUUGUGUGCAACAAGCUCAAGUUCAUCACCAUUGUGAAAUGACUUGAACUGUUUGAUAAAACUCAGCAACGCGUCUAAAAUCCUUCGAAUGAAGUUGGCGCAUCAGUUGUCAAGGUACCUGAAAUAUUCAUUUCCUUCACUGAAGAUGGGAAGAACGUUCAAGCUGGUUGAUGAUCACCUGUGUCCUUGGUUUUUGGCAUGGCAGGUUCAUGGCCGGUUUCACGUAGACGAGCUAGAAAUCUACUCUCACUUGUGUGGUUGCUUAUGGUAUAGAUAAAAAAUGUUGUAGACUUUCAUUACUUAUUUAUGUGAUGAUAUGAAGCUUUUUUUUGUUUGACUUUCUAGCUAUUGCUUUGUCAAACCUCUCCUUUUGUUUUCUUGGCUUAGCGCUGUUUCUUCUACUGCAAAACGAGGUUAUAGGAAGGAUUUUGUGCUAUGUAAUACUGAUUCAUUUAAUAGUUAGCUUAUGUGUUA
Brassica napus (rape) is the source of this 2017-nucleotide long non-coding RNA. RefSeq lists it as uncharacterized. The transcript is spliced from 3 exons. NCBI's taxonomy places the organism in Eukaryota, Viridiplantae, Streptophyta, Magnoliopsida, Brassicales, Brassicaceae. The record is from RefSeq and is a predicted model, not a curated record.